UGGUAAUUAGUUUAACUAAAAUUAAUGAUUUCGACUCAUUAGACUAUGACAAAUGUCAUAAUUACCAA
Molecule: transfer RNA, 68 nt
Filed under: Prometheomys schaposchnikovi (Long-clawed mole vole)
Lineage: Eukaryota; Metazoa; Chordata; Mammalia; Rodentia; Cricetidae
Description: tRNA-Arg
Source: RNAcentral